Long non-coding RNA from Lucilia cuprina (Australian sheep blowfly), 710 nucleotides. RefSeq lists it as uncharacterized. NCBI's taxonomy places the organism in Eukaryota, Metazoa, Arthropoda, Insecta, Diptera, Calliphoridae. The transcript has 3 exons. The record is from RefSeq and is a predicted model, not a curated record.
UACAUUUUGAACAAAUAUUUUAUUACAUAUAUUAAUUUCGAUAUAGUUGAUUUAUUAUGAAACACAUUAGUCCAAGGCUAAUUGGUAACACCUAAUAAAUCGCUAAAAUUCCUGUUAACAACUAUAUUAGGGUUUUCCCGCGACGUUGGUAGCAAAAUCGUUUCAUUUAAAAUAAAAUAGCUAGAUUAACAGCAUUGUUCAAGUGGUGAACUUGGUUCGUUGAGUGUCACAAAAAAACUAAAAAAAGUAUUUAAAAAAUAUUAAAAUACGUAUUUAUUUAAACAAAAAAUUUCAUUUUUAUUUAAAUUAUAUUGCCCUUAAAAAACUUUAGCGUUUUUCAAAAUAAUUAUCAAGCUAAAUCAUUUUUUUUGCGUUUUUUUUUACAAAAGCGCGUGGGGCGUUCAUUGAAAGACUUGUAAAAAAGUCGGGCGUUAUCCCGCUUUUUUGUUUUUAUAACGAUUUUAUUGGCAAUGUAAGUACAAAUUAUGCUAAAUUCUUUAAUUGUUUAUGUACAUAAAAACAUAAUUAUUAUGUUCAUAUAGGUAUUCACAUUAAUACGAAGAAUAGUGCAAAUCUCUUGUUCUUCUGUUAGUCAUAAAGAACUUGUAUAUGGACAGAACUAAAUACUCGACUAUUGACAAGAAUACAAACUUGGCAGCAGUCAUAACUGUAGACUUGACUUGAUAAAAUUCUCGACUAAAAUCAAUAUG